This 39-nucleotide ribosomal RNA is filed under the name Tricholoma equestre. RNAcentral describes it as "partial 25S ribosomal RNA". RNAcentral also lists the same sequence under 1 other name. The record is from RNAcentral. Lineage: Eukaryota; Fungi; Basidiomycota; Agaricomycetes; Agaricales; Tricholomataceae.
UUGACCUCAAAUCAGGUAGGACUACCCGCUGAACUUAGC